AUGCUGCUGCACGUGUACUCCUCCAGGACUAACAGGUGGGAGGAGAGGUCCUUCCGGCGGCAGGGGGAGGCCUUCGGGACCAUCGCCGACGUGCCUUGGUCUCCCAUGAACCAAAGACGCGCCGUCUACUGGCAUGGACACCUCUACGUGCACCACCAUUUUGUCAUGAGAAUAUCUUUGUUAAGUGGCAAGUACCAAGUAAUCAAGCCACCCCAAGGUAUUAUUACCAAGGCCCAAGAAGUUCCACAACAACGACUCGGAAAAUCGGAGAAAGGUGUGUAUCUUGCAUCAAUCGCUUCUCAUCGCUGGCUUCAAGUAUGGAUCCUCGACGAGGCUCAUGCUCCUACCGAGUGGGUCUUAAAGUAUGAGACAGAUCUUGUCCUUGGCCGUGUGCAAGCAGAUCUGAGAUACAAUCCGGAUGCUCAGGGGUCUUGGAUCAUAGAAGACGUCAACGAUAAUCCCCCUCGUGAUACAUCUCCAGAUUACAAAGAACAAGCUAAGCAGGAAAAUAAGGAUGUCCUUGGCACCAAAGAUUUUUACAUCCUUGGAUUUCACCCUCAUGAAGAAGUUCUCUUUCUGAGCGAGUCCUUGCAGAGAGGAAUGGCCUAUCAUUUGAGUAGCUCGAAGUUCCAAUACCUGGGAAACAUGCGCCCGACACGCUACCAUGGGUUUAGUGAAGGCUAUGAAUUCUUACGAAGUUCAUUUCCAUACACGCCAUGCUUGACCACAGAGUUCCCUACGGAUAAUUGA
Molecule: ribosomal RNA, 750 nt
Filed under: Triticum aestivum (bread wheat)
Lineage: Eukaryota; Viridiplantae; Streptophyta; Magnoliopsida; Poales; Poaceae
Description: partial small subunit ribosomal RNA
Source: RNAcentral